GACGAACGCUGGCGGCGUGCUUAACACAUGCAAGUCGAACGGAAAGGCCCUGCUUUUGUGGGGUGCUCGAGUGGCGAACGGGUGAGUAACACGUGAGUAACCUGCCCUUGACUUUGGGAUAACUUCAGGAAACUGGGGCUAAUACCGGAUAGGAGCUCCUGCUGCAUGGUGGGGGUUGGAAAGUUCCGGCGGUUGGGGAUGGACUCGCGGCUUAUCAGCUUGUUGGUGGGGUAGUGGCUUACCAAGGCUUUGACGGGUAGCCGGCCUGAGAGGGUGACCGGCCACAUUGGGACUGAGAUACGGCCCAGACCCCUACGGGAGGCAGCAGUGGGGAAUAUUGCACAAUGGGCGGAAGCCUGAUGCAGCAACGCCGCGUGCGGGAUGACGGCCUUCGGGUUGUAAACCGCUUUCGCCUGUGACGAAGCGUGAGUGACGGUAAUGGGUAAAGAAGCACCGGCUAACUACGUG
Molecule: ribosomal RNA, 468 nt
Filed under: uncultured bacterium
Lineage: Bacteria
Description: partial 16S ribosomal RNA
Rfam family: Bacterial small subunit ribosomal RNA
Source: RNAcentral